Molecule: long non-coding RNA, 3861 nt
Organism: Symphalangus syndactylus (siamang)
Lineage: Eukaryota; Metazoa; Chordata; Mammalia; Primates; Hylobatidae
Source: RefSeq, a predicted model, not a curated record
AAAUUAGUGAUCAACAGGGAGGGAGAAGAGAAAGCAAAACAAGUCAAACUUUUGAGAAUAAGAGAAUGUCAUGUAUCACAUCCAAGGGUGUUACAGAGACAUGUUAGCUGUUCACCAGACUGCUUUGCUUUUCUCUUGGGCAUUGAGCCGGGUCCAUUUCCCAGCUUACUUCAUUGUCUGCGGAGGCCUCGUGACUGAUGAAGGCCUGGUUCACGUAAAUCUCCCUGUCAAUCCUCCACUCUGUCUACCUCCUAUGCCUGCUGGACCUUGGUACUCAUCGUGACUGUGGACGCUUGUGGUGACUUUGCUCACCAUGUGUUUAUGAUGUCAAAACACAUGAGACUGGGUCCCUGAAUGACUCUUUGGAGCAGAGCUUGCCUCCCCACCCCAUGGUUUCACUAUUGGAAGAAUAUACGGAUGCUCUAUUUCCUGAGGCCUUUCUUAUCUGAAGUGUUGCUUCAUAUGACAACUUGAAAGGCACACAGUUCGUGAGUUGCAAAAUUUCUACUUUAAAAUACAACUAUGCACCUCCACUAUCUUCUGGCAUCUAAUAUGAGGAUGCUUUCUGAGAGGAAAUGCAUGAGCUUCAUCUGCUGUAUUUUGCUGGACGAGUUCUGCCUACUUCUAACUUCCUUAUAAGACUAUGGAAAUGCUGAAUCACAGUGACAACUGAAUGGGGGAAUGAAAACCAGGAAUAGAGAAGGGUUUCCUUCUCUGUUAUUAAGGAUGAUAAAGCAUCAUUCUGAGAGAAGACUUGCAAAGCUACAUCUAGGGAACCUCUGUCCACUGAGAGUUUAACAUUAAGAUUAUACCAAAUUUAGAAUGCAAGGGCUAGCAGAGAACUUAAAAUUAUCUGCACUUAUUUCUUUAUUUCAGAUGGAAAAACUGAGACCCAGUUAAAUGAAACGGCAUGUGCACUAUGAAGCAGUUGGUAGAAGGAGUGAAAAAGUACCCCCCUCCCCACAGUCAGGCUCAGUCCCAUGAAAUUCAUUCCACUAUGGUAGUCAGAUCAUAUAGUUAGUGUCAGACAAGGCACGCACACCAUUAGCCCCAGGGAUAUUGAAUGUUUCUGUGGUCUUUUAAAAUUUACAUGUACAUUUGCAUUGCCAGUAGGUUUUUUUGCUUUGUUUUGUUUUUUGAGACGGAGUUUUGCUCUUGUUGCCCAGGCUGGAGUGCAGUGGCAUGAUUUCAGCUCACUGCAACCUCCAUCUCCUGGGUUCAAGCAAUUCUCCUGCCUCAGCCUCCCAAAUAGCUGGGAUUACAGGUGCGCACCACUGCGUCAGCUAAUUUUUUUGUAUUUUUUGUAGAAAUGGGGUUUUGCCAGGUUGGCCAGGCUGGUCUUGAACUCCUGACCUCAGGUGAUCCCCACGUCUCAGCCUCCCAAAGUGCUGAGAUUACAGGCAUGAGCCACCACGCCCGGCCUGCCAGUAGGCUUUUAAUAUCUCAGAAGAUGCAUGAAUGUAGAGUAUCUUCUAGAGAUAAUUUAAGUUCUGUACAUAUUAAGAAAUUUAAAUACCAGUUAUUUACAUUCUGAAAGACCAUUGAUGAGAUCACACACCUUGAUGAAUUCUUACCUACAGUUCCUGAAGUCAUGUCAAGAGGAUUACCAGUCUCUUCUUCAAAGCUUUGGACCUAAGAUACCAAAUGCAUCAAUGUCAUUAGAAAUUUUGUCAAAUAAAUUCACUUAUUUUAAUCAACAUAUAAUGAGACUGGCAACUGAUAAGAGGGAUAAACAUGAGUUCCUGAACUCAAAUAACUUGCAAUCUGCUGGCAGGAGGUAGCGGGGACAAGGUACCCAUGAUGAAGAUUCAAAGAAUUAAAGAAGUUGAGGAAAGGGGAAGAUCACCUCUGGAUGGCAGGAUCAAUGCUUCUUCUGGAAGAUGUGCAUUUGAAAGAAAUUUACAUAGUAAUAUUUCUAUUCUAGAUUUUCUUUUUUUUUGCUUCCAAAGAACUUUAAGUAUAUUUGGAGAAAGUUAAUUAGGACUUGAUAAAUUUAUGGAGAGUAAAUCAGAAAAUUUAGUUGCUAUAUAGUGCUUAGACAUUUUAAAAAAUUUUAGUUUCCAAAUUGCUAGAAGAAAAUUUAUUUUUGAAAUUUUUAAAGAAAUGAAUAAAUACUUCUGUACUGAUGAAAAUAAAGUUAUCGUUAAACAAAAUAAUGCAUAUUACUUCUAAAAUAGCAAUACAGCUAAUUAUAGAAACUGAUACAUAGAAAAAGAAGGUAAAAAAACAAGGCUGGGCUUGAUAGCUCAUGCUAUAAUCUCAACAUUUUGGGAAGCCAAGGUGGGAGGAUCACUUGAAGCCAGGUGUUUAAAACCAGCCUGGGCAACAUAGUGAGACCCCAUCUCUACAAAAAAUAAAAAGAAGGUAAGAAAACAGUUACUGUUACUCCAAAAACAUUUUGGAGUAUUUCUUUGCAAGUUUUCUUUGAUAUACAUUUUUCUGGAUAUUGUCAUGUAGUCAAAUUUUUUCUCUCAAAAAUUUGAAGGCAGAAUUUUUAUUCCACAUCAUAAGAUUUCUUUGAAAACAUCAUCUUUAAUGACAGGACAAUAGGCUGUUCUCAGGAAGAACAUUAGUUUACUUAACAAUUCUCCCACUUUUGGAAUGUUUUCUAAACUUUGCAAUUAGAAAUAAUGUUGAGGUGAAUAUUCUUGUUCAUAAAUCUGUUUCUACAUGUCAUAUUACUUAUUUGGAACUGAUAUUUGAGUACAGAAAGCUGAAUCAAAGGACAUGAACAUUUUAAACAUUGUGGUAUAUAUGGCCAAAAAUGACCUCUAACCCAGGAAUAGACUAGGGACCAUGAGGAUAUAGCUCAACUGUAAUAAGAAGAAAUAUUUAAUGUCUCUUUUUAAUCCUUCACAUCUUUUCUUUUCAAAUAAGUUACUUUACACUUGUAAUCUAUUAGACAUACUUCUUAGCAUUAAUUUCACUGGUGUUGGUAACUCAAAUCAGUGCACAUUAUAUGCAUUUUUCAAGUGUAAUAAAAAGUUUUUGCUAUGACCAUUAUCAUGGAGAAAAAUCCACUUAGGGCAAUGUGAAGCACAAGUUUGUCUUUUGAAAAAAAAAGGAAAAGCCCCAUUAAUUUAAAAUGAAAGCCAGGUGUAUUCCUGGGCUAUUCCACCUGAGCCAAACUUAUUAAUUAAUAAAAAAUAAAAUAAAGAAAUAGUUAUAGCUUUUGAAAUAUUCCCCACCUAAUCAAGAUGUUGACUGGGAUUGUUUAAUAAUAUGGUUAAUGUUCUCACAUGUGACUUCUAGAGAAUAGGAUGCUUAUAUGCAAACAGGAGAGAAAGCUAAAAAUUAUUUAUUAUGGAUAUGAAGAAGCAUCCUACCUUGAGUUUACAAUUGCACAAAUUUUACGAGUAUCAAAUUCACUUAACGUAUUUAGGAAUUUAAAAAGAGAGGGGGCUGACUCAAUUUUACUAAGUAAAAUUAAACAAAAAAAUGUUGAUUUUUCCAUUAAAAAAUCUAUGCACAAUUUUGUUGAAAUUAUACUUUUGAGAAGUGAGACAAACAUUGCCAAAUUCAGCUUUUAGUACGACUUUAGGGAAAGCAUCAUUGGUUGAUCUGGAGGCAAAAUUUGGCCAAUCAUACUUGAAAUUCUGAUAGCUAGAUAUUUAAGUACAUUGGCUCUUGUUUUAAAUGCCAUGAAAAUCUGCCAAUUUCACACAUAUUUUUCAUUUCUUAUAAUUGGAUUUUAAAAUUUGACAUUGAAAAAUAAAUAUUAAAUCUGGCAUAGGCUUCUGUUUAAGAUGCAAUCUACCCAAGCUUCAUUUACUCAUCCACUGGUAUUGAGUGAAACAAAUAUUUUUUCCCCAGUGAGAAUGUAAUAUUUUAUAUGCACUUUUUAUUAAAAUGAAAUUCAAG